UGAACGCUGGCGGCAUGCCUUACACAUGCAAGUCGAACGGCAGCGCGGGGCAACCUGGCGGCGAGUGGCGAACGGGUGAGUAAUAUAUCCGGAACGUACCCUGAAGUGGGGGAUAACGUAGCGAAAGUUACGCUAAUACCGCAUACGAUCUAAGGAUGAAAGUGGGGGCUCGCAAGACCUCAUGCUCCUGGAGCGGCCGAUAUCUGAUUAGCUAGUUGGUGGGGUAAAGGCCCACCAAGGCAUCGAUCAGUAGCUGGUCUGAGAGGACGACCAGCCACACUGGAACUGAGACACGGUCCAGACUCCUACGGGAGGCAGCAGUGGGGAAUUUUGGACAAUGGGCGCAAGCCUGAUCCAGCAAUGCCGCGUGAGUGAAGAAGGCCUUCGGGUUGUAAAGCUCUUUUGUCAGGGAAGAAACGGGUGGGGCUAAUAUCCUCACCUAAUGACGGUACCUGAAGAAUAAGCACCGGCUAACUACGUGCCAGCAGCCGCGGUAAUACGUAGGGUGCAAGCGUUAAUCGGAAUUACUGGGCGUAAAGCGUGCGCAGGCGGUUUUGUAAGUCUGUCGUGAAAUCCCCGGGCUCAACCUGGGAAUGGCGAUGGAGACUGCAAGGCUAGAGUUUGGCAGAGGGGGGUAGAAUUCCACGUGUAGCAGUGAAAUGCGUAGAUAUGUGGAGGAACACCGAUGGCGAAGGCAGCCCCCUGGGUCAAAACUGACGCUCAUGCACGAAAGCGUGGGGAGCAAA
Molecule: ribosomal RNA, 746 nt
Filed under: uncultured soil bacterium
Lineage: Bacteria
Description: bacterial SSU rRNA
Rfam family: Bacterial small subunit ribosomal RNA
Source: RNAcentral